GAUGAACGCUAGCGGGAGGCCUAACACAUGCGAGCCGAGCGGUAUUGUUUCUUCGGAAAUGAGAGAGCGGCGUACGGGUGCGUAACACGUGUGCAGCCUGCCUUUAUCUGGGGGAUAGCCUUUCGAAAGGAAGAUUAAUACUCCAUAAUAUAUUGAACGGCAUCGUUUAAUAUUGAAAGCUCCGGCGGAUAGAGAUGGGCACGCGCAAGAUUAGCUAGUUGGUGAGGUAACGGCUCACCAAGGCGAUGAUCUUUAGGGGGCCUGAGAGGGUGAUCCCCCACACUGGUACUGAGACACGGACCAGACUCCUACGGGAGGCAGCAGUGAGGAAUAUUGGUCAAUGGGUGCAAGCCUGAACCAGCCAUCCCGUGUGAAGGACGACUGCCCUAUGGGUUGUAAACUUCUUUUGUAUAGGGAUAAACCUACCCUCGAGAGGGUAGCUGAAGGUACUAUACGAAUAAGCACCGGCUAACUCCGUG
RNAcentral lists this ribosomal RNA (479 nucleotides) under uncultured bacterium. Its description in RNAcentral is "partial 16S ribosomal RNA". It matches the Rfam family "Bacterial small subunit ribosomal RNA", at positions 28 to 507 of the family's 1533-position model. The record is from RNAcentral.